GGGUUGGUUGCUGGAAGUCAGGGCUAUGGGGAGAGCUCUAAGCAGCCAGCUGGAGGACAGGCAUCGCUUAUGACAAAAGAGCUGGAUUUGGAGGUGCCUAGCAGGAAGUUUUCCAAAGAGAUAGCAGAGCUCCAGGGGACCGUGAGUGAGCUGUGGACAUCUGCCAUGCCACAGGGCACCAAUGCCCUUUUACAAUCCCUCCACUCAACUCUACAAGAAAGGUGCUGUUGCAAUUCUCUUUUUACAAAUUGGAAUGUUAGGCAAACUUGCCUGAAAGCCAUACAGCUGGU
RNAcentral lists this long non-coding RNA (290 nucleotides) under Equus caballus (horse). RNAcentral's name for it is "lncRNA (ENSECAG00000042644.2)". Lineage: Eukaryota; Metazoa; Chordata; Mammalia; Perissodactyla; Equidae. The record is from RNAcentral.